RNAcentral lists this transfer RNA (71 nucleotides) under Podarcis lilfordi (Lilford's wall lizard). RNAcentral's name for it is "tRNA.Pro". Lineage: Eukaryota; Metazoa; Chordata; Lepidosauria; Squamata; Lacertidae. The record is from RNAcentral.
GGCAAGUGGUGUAGUGGUUAGAGUGUUGGACUAGGACCUGGGAGACCAGGGUUCAAAUCCCUGCUCAGUCA